GGAGGCAAUGCAGCACCUGCCCGGAAGAGCCCGAGCGUUCCCGGCAGCGAGAACGUGCCUCUGCGGGUUGCCGCGCAGCCGGGCUCUGCGCUGGCUUGGGCUCGUCCACCACAAUGAAUUAAAAUCUGUGGACUGAAUCUGUGGAAGGAGGAGGCCUCAUAGAAGAACUGAGAAGUGCACAGAUUGCAAGUUUGGACGCUGGGCUGAACCCUCCCCAAACGACUCGGGCCUGCCCAACUCAGCCGCGCUCGCAGCAGCCAGCUUUUCACGAGGGACCGUUCUGGUUCCUUCCUACUUCCAGCCGCAGGUGACUCAGCCUUGGCCAGAAGCAGGGGAUUCGGAGCUACUAACGCAAGUCUUGCUUCGUCCCUGCGUCCACCCUGCAUCCGCCUGCAUCCGGGGGGGGCCCCUGGAGCAGGUGCCGCUUUGCGGGCAAAGGUGACCAACACCAU
Molecule: non-coding RNA, 452 nt
Organism: Struthio camelus australis
Lineage: Eukaryota; Metazoa; Chordata; Aves; Struthioniformes; Struthionidae
Source: RefSeq, a predicted model, not a curated record